This 479-nucleotide long non-coding RNA is filed under the name Erythranthe guttata (spotted monkey flower). Its description in RNAcentral is "long non-coding RNA (EGUT_LNC002716)". The record is from RNAcentral. Lineage: Eukaryota; Viridiplantae; Streptophyta; Magnoliopsida; Lamiales; Phrymaceae.
CGCACUCCGUCCGUUCCCGACGAUUUUUCCUUUUUUUUUUCAGUUGUAAUUUCCGGCCGCAGAUAUUCGUCCCUCUCCAAUCUUCCGCCUACAUUCGUUGACCGGAGGGCGAACCUGUUUCCUGGUCUCCAGAAUUUUCGAAAUAUACAAUUUCUGCCGAUUCGUGUUUUUGGUCGCCUGCCUCCGCUUUCCCCCAAAUGGCCACCGCCGCCACCAUCGCAGGCCCCGCGGCCGUCGGGACUGUAUGGCUGAAGGGGAGUGAGGUAUGAGAAGGAUUUUAGUAAGGUCUUAUUUUGGAUUUCCCGUUUUUUUUGGUUUUCUUCCACCCACUGUUGAGAUAAUGGUGAAGCUAGACCAAUUUUUACUUUUAUUUUUUGUGCAAAUUACAGAGGAUUGUGAUGUUGUCACUAUUAUAGGAUUCAAUUUAAUACGGAGGAAGUAUUGGCACCAAUUAAUUUUGUUUACUAUCAAAAGUUUUG